UACGUAGGGUGCAAGCGUUAAUCGGAAUUACUGGGCGUAAAGCGUGCGCAGGCGGUUAUGUAAGACAGAUGUGAAAUGCCCGGGCUUAACCUGGGAACUGCAUUUGUGACUGCAUGGCUAGAGUUUGGCAGAGGGGGGUAGAAUUCCACGUGUAGCAGUGAAAUGCGUAGAGAUGUGGAGGAACACCGAUGGCGAAGGCAGCCCCCUGGGUUAACACUGACGCUCAGGCACGAAAGCGUGGGGAGCAAACAGG
This 253-nucleotide ribosomal RNA is filed under the name uncultured bacterium. RNAcentral describes it as "partial 16S ribosomal RNA". It matches the Rfam family "Bacterial small subunit ribosomal RNA", at positions 524 to 776 of the family's 1533-position model. The record is from RNAcentral.